Long non-coding RNA from Cavia porcellus (domestic guinea pig), 1759 nucleotides. RefSeq lists it as uncharacterized. The transcript has 2 exons. Lineage: Eukaryota; Metazoa; Chordata; Mammalia; Rodentia; Caviidae. The record is from RefSeq and is a predicted model, not a curated record.
GUUGCAUUUGUUUCUCACCUUUUGUCCUGAGAUCUGGCCCACAGCAGGAGGUGUCUGUCUCCUCCAAGGCUGCAAGAUAUCUGGUCUUCUGCACUGGCUCCUUCAAGGGCCCAACCCUGUCUGACUGCCUCUGAUAUUUCUAACUAACUCAGCUGCCUGUAACAAUAGUAGAGCUAGACUACUGUUUAACAAAGCCUUGAUGGCAUAACUGAUGGAAGCAGUGAUUAUCAGCGGCAGCUGAGGGGAGCACACAAGCUGCCUUUGAAGACGGAAUCUGCUCCAGGCAGACAUGCAGUCUAGCAAACCCGGAAGGGGAACACAUUAAUGCUAUGGGUAUGCAACCAAAAAAUUCAAAAGAGGGAGGAGUCUAGAGAGAAAGUUGCCUAGUUCCUUCUGAAAAUACCAAGGGGGAAAAGGAAGAGUGGACUUUUUUUUUAGGUUUAAAAAAAAGAAAAGGGCCGGGGGUUUAGCUCAGUGGCACAAGCACCUGCCUGGCAAACGCAAGGUCCAGAGUUUGAUGCCUGGUACCGAGAAAAAGAAAAAAAAAAAAGGCCUGCCAGAUACAUGCCAGCAUGGUGAGUGGUCCUUUUUUGGAUCCUAAUCUGAAUGAAUUAAUUAUUUUGUGAUUCAUAUCUAUUGUAAAAUGGUGCAUAUAUAUGAGCUAAACAAAGAAAUUUAAUUCUAGAAACUAUAUGUUUGUUAUUAAGGAACUAUCAAUAAAUGUAUUAGAUGAGCAAUGUUGAUGUGGAAAUAACCCGCCAUGGACAAGAUGAGCUAAGGAGAGAAAGUGGAUAGAAGAGAAAACAAAUGACCCAGCUUAGGGCGACUACGUAUUAGAAGGGGCAGAGAAGGAACGGAGAAAAUGCAGCCAGUUUAUUAUGUGUACAGUGUGCCAACAGCCAGAGAAGCAGCAGGAAAACCAGGAGUGAGGAGUGUCAUGAGCAAGUGUGUCACGAGGUAGAAGAGGGAAGCAGAGUAGAAAAGGCACCAACAGAAUUAAAACAACGGGAAGAGUUGUGGCCAUCGGAUUUGGGAAUGUGGAGAUCCGCCGUACAGGCCUGGAGGUGUGGAGCAGUCUUGAAAUGGUUUGAGUGGAGAAAGACAAGAAAGAAAGUGGAGACCAACAUGACAGCAUGGAGACAUUUGCCCUGGAGAGAAGGAAAGAAAUGGCACGUCUGACAUAUGUACAUUCACCAGUGAAGUUGUCCUGGCUAAAACACCUGGCGUCAGAGUCUACCUGGGCAUCAACUGUCAUCCCGUCAACUCCCCUAGGCUCCCGUACAGCACCCCCUGCCAGCAGGAAGUAGUUAAAGAGAGAAAUCUUCACCCGUUUUCAUAAUAAUCAUAAGAUGCGAUAUGAAAGGGUUGUUGAUCCAGACCGGACACUUUAGCCAGAAAAAGCCUCAGCCGGAAUCAGGGAGCUCCUGUCUCCCUCGCCCCUAGAGAUUUACCUGUAACUCGAUAUCCCCCCACCCUUCGGAAUCUGCCCCUGGCGCCAAAAGUGUGCCAAUGAAAUACCUGUAUAUCUCUAAUGGCCUUAGGGCACUACUCUAAGCUUAGGCUACUUAUAUUCCCCCACGCCAUGUGUGAGAGAGAUCACCAGAUUUCAGCAGCCGGCAUGCCAGUCCUCUCUCUCCGUGUUCCCAGAAUAAAGGCCUCUUUUGAUUUAUACUCCUCAUCUUUUGGGAAUAUUUUUCAUCUUCUAGAAAUAAUCCUAUCAUUCUCCACUGUUGAUGGAAAUGUAAACUGGUUCAACUAU